This 11393-nucleotide long non-coding RNA is filed under the name Populus trichocarpa (black cottonwood). RNAcentral describes it as "long non-coding RNA (PTRI_LNC000973)". Lineage: Eukaryota; Viridiplantae; Streptophyta; Magnoliopsida; Malpighiales; Salicaceae. The record is from RNAcentral.
UCGCAUUCUGAUUGUCCACCCCCAUCUCCACCCUCCUCAAAACUGUUUAUUGUUAAAAUUCCCUUUGUAUGCGCGGACACGGGUGGCGAACACUUGUAGGUGGUGUAAAAUUUUCCUUGUUCACAGCAUUCUGCGCCAUUAUCCUGGUUACACUGAUUUUUCGGGGGCUUCUUUCCUUUCACUUUGCCACUUGGCUUGCACUUUUGUGCUUCAACCAAUGCACCAGCUGUGAAAAGAAGCACAAAGAGGACUAGAAGAUACUUAAAAGUUGGGUAAACUUGCUUCAUUUUUUCAGAAUGUCUUCCUGCAGUGAUGCUGAUUGUUAGUGGUGUACAGAAUGUGCACAGCUUAGAAAAUAAAUAGAAAGAGGGGUGCUGAAGGACAAAAAUUCGGGCGGAAACUACCAAAGACUGCCUCUUAAUUGUGAUUAGGAGAUUUUACGAUUCAUGUGAACAAUGUUACUGAUCUCGCGGUGGAAAACAAAAAACAACUGGGUUGAUGCGAGACUUGCAUCGUGGUAUCACGUAAUUAUUCAACAUGUUUUGUCAUUUGGUUCUACUGUUUCAGAUUCUUUUGUUGUUUAUGAUGAUUCCUAGGAAGAUUCACUGGGGUUCAAAUCUCUUUUGGACACCGGCCCGAUCGAGCGGUUUCUUAACAAAAGAGCACCUAGAGCUGUAACAUUUUCACUUUUAUAAAGUUUAUAUUUAAUAACUUCCUAUACAAGGAAUAUAAGUUAGGAAUUAAAAAAAAAAAACUGAGAGAGUUAUAUUUUAGUGCACAAACCAUUCAGUGUUGAAUCUAGUAAAGUAAACUCAGAAUCGAGAUAGUUGAAUCCAGUAAAGAGUAUUAGAAUACUUAGAAGUUUACAAUGUAAUUUUCAACAUAAUUUUAUUGAUGCUAUAGUUAUAUACUGACGAUUACAUAUAAAGAUUACAGCAAUCAAAAAUAUUUAUGGACAGAAUAUUUGUAUUAAUUCACAAGCAUGAUUGUAGAUUUGGUGCUGUAAAUCAGUAGCAGAUUUCCUUCACACUAAUGCUGCAAUCACUUGCAGAUUUCAUGCAUCUGCAAAGUUCCAGCAUCUUCCUUAAUAUGCCCUCGCAAAAUUGAACUUCCAUCAUCAAGUCCAAUUUUGGCUCGUAAUAAUUCAGUUCAUGUCCGAGACAAUGGCUUGGUUAAUAAAUCUGUAAGUUGGUCUUGAGUGUGGACGUGGCGCACAUGAAGAAUACCCUUCUGAACUUGAUCACGCACAAAAUGAAGAUCAAUUUGGAUAUGCUUCAUUCUUGAGUGGUGAACCGGAUUGAAACUAAGGUGAGUUGUGCCAAGAUUAUCACACAGUAGAGAAGGUGGCACUGUCAAAGGAAAUCCGAGUUCAUGAAAAAGUGCAAGAAGCCAUAGUGUUUCAUAGGAUUGCAGCCAAGAAACGUAAUGUAAGCCGAUGUAGACGUGCGAUCAUCAAUGUUACCGGCCCAGUCAGCAUCGCUAUAAGUUGUUAAACAUGAUGCAGCAGCUUUCCUGAGAUGAAUACCAUGAAAAAUUAUCCGCUUGAGAUAGCGAAGAAGCCUCUUGGUGGCAGCCCAUUGAGUGACCGUGGGCUUGUGCAUAAACUGAGACAACUUAUUGACUGCAAAACAGAUGUCCGGACGAGUUAAGGAGAGGUAUUGCAGGCUGCCAAUAAUACGCCUAUACUUGGUGCUAUCCACUGAUGUUGUUCCAUCUAAGAGAUGAAGAGAUUGAGUAAUGGACAGAGGAGUGGAAAUGUCCUUGGCACCAGCCAUAUUUUGAGUCUCCAAGAUGGUCCGGAUGUACUGGUGCUGGGAGAGAAAUAAACCUGCAUGUGUGGGAAUGACUUCAACUCCCAAGAAGUAGUGAAGUAAGCCCAUAUCCUUCAAGGAAAACCGAGUACCAAGAGCAGUAACAACAUGUCCUACGAACUGAGUAUCACUGCCUGUAAUCACCAAAUCAUCAACAUAAACAAGCACAUAACAAAUAACUGAGUUAUGAUGAUAGAUAAACAGUGAGGAAUCAGCUGUAGAAUUCUGGAAACCAAGUUGCAAAAGGGAAGAUCACAAAGCUGAAUACCACGCCCUAGGAGCUUGUUUGAGACCAUAGAUGGCUUUCUUUAAUCUGCAUACAUAGUCAGGUUUGGAUAAAUCUUUGAAGCCCGGAGGCUGCAAUAUAAACAGUUUCAGACAACAUGCCAUGUAAGAAAGCAUUAUUGACAUCCAUUUGUCUCAAGGACCACCCAUUCAUAACAGUAAUGUUCAACACAGUUCUAAUGGUUGCUGGUUUAACAACCGGGCUAAAGGUUUCUUUAUAAUCAACUCCAGGACGUUGAUUAUAACCCUUUGUAACAAGCCGCGCUUUGAAUUUAUCAACCGAGCCAUCUGCCUUUCGCUUGAUUCGAAAAACCCACUUACAACCUACGGGCUUACAGUCUUUGGGAGGAGGAAUUAAAUCCCAUGUACCAUGACUCAUAAGGGCUGUUAACUCACUGGACAUGGCUGCACGCCAUUCAGGAUGAGAUACGGCUUGGCUCACACAAGUUGGUUCCAGUGAAGGCGGAAAGGAAUGCUUGGACACAGUGUUCAAUUGUUUAGAUUUGAAAAUAUUGUUCAUCGAUCGAGUGGUCAUGGAGUGAUGACGGGUUGGAAUAAUGUCAAUUGAUGUUGAACAUGGCAAGGGGACAAUGCUUGUAGAUGUCGCAUCGUGAGUUUGAGGGGAGAUGUUAAGUAAUAUUUAUCUAGUUUUAUUUAUUAAGGGUAGAAUAGUAUUUUCAGUUUAACCUAUAUAUAAUUUCUUUGUAUUUAGGUUAACUUAAGCACUCAUAAUAAACAUAUUAUUGAGAAUUCUAGCCUCCUUUUAUGUUUCAUCUGAAUUACUUUAACAAUGCUCAUGAUGCAGAUUAUCAAUUGACUCAGAAAUAGAAGGUGAGUGAGAUGGGGUAAUACCUGGAGAUGACGCUGAGGAGGCAGCAACAGCGUCCAAACUCGUUGAUGAUUCCAAUGGUGGAGUGGAGAUCAGCGAAGAUGUCGCAGGAACGAGAGGAGCAGGAGAGGGGAUGACAGGGCAUGGAAUUGAUUUGAGAAACUGAUGGGUAUGGUUGGACGGUUGGAUGGAUGAUAAAUGGCCGGGUGGGUUGAGUUUUGAGACUAGACUUUAAGUUUCAUCAAACAGUACUACGUGUUUGGACACAUAAAUUCGAGCAGUUAAGGGAUCAAUGCAUUUGUAAGCAUUUUGGGUUGGUGAGUAUCCUAUAAAAACACAGGGAGUGGACUUAGGCUGUAACUUAUGGGUGUUAUAUGGCUUGGUGAGAGGAUAGCAUAAACAUCCAAAUUUCUGUAAUUUGAGAUAAUUUGGUUGUUGAUGAAAAAGAACUUUAAAUGGGGAUUUAUUUUGAAGGAGAGGAGUGGGUUGACGAUUUAUAAGAUAAGCAGCAAUUUGAAAUGCAUGAGGCCAAUAAGAGAGAGGUAAGGAGGCAUCAUGAAGCAAGGUGAGACCUAUUUCAUCAAGAUGGCGAGGACGUCUUUCAGUAACACCAUUUUUUUGAGGAGUGUGGGGAGCAGUAGUGUAAAAACUUAUACCAUGAUUGGAUAAGUAAGGUUUUAACUUUAGAAAUUCACCACCAUUAUCGGAGUACAAAGCUUUGGUGGUGGAUUGAAAUCUUUUUUCCACCAGCAUUUUGAAUUGGGGAAAGAUACUAGACACCUGAGAUUUUGCAGACAUUGGAUAGAACCACAUAUAUUUGGUAUAAUGAUCCACGAAAAGAAGGUAAUACCGUGCACCAUAAAUCCCAGUAAUGUAAGCAGGACCCCAAACAUCAGUGUAUACAGUGUCAAAUGGAGAGUAACUUUGAAAACUUGUUGAACCAAAGGGUUGUUUAUACGCUUUAUUUGUGGAACAAGAAGUACAUAAAGAUGAAAUUUUUUUUUGUUGAAACAGGAAGGGAUAAUUGAUUGACAAGAUGUUGAACAAUUUUAAUUGAAGGGUGUCCAAGACGUUUGUGCCACCCAUCAAGUGAAGUUCGUUCAUGCACAUAAGCAACUUUUUUUGGAGUGGGAGAAGCCACCAAGGAGUUUGGAAACAUGUAUACGUCAUUCUCAUACGCACCUCUUAGAAGUAUUGCCCCCGUGGUUUUGUCCUUCACAAGAAAAAAAAUGGGUGAAGUUCAAGAAAAACAUUAUUAUGUUUGGUGAAGUGAUGAACUGAAAUGAGAUUCUUGUGAAUAUGAGGAACACAUAAGGUAUCAUGUAAAUGAAAAGUUUUGGUAGGUGUAGGUAAAGCUAAGGAACCAAUAUGUGUAACUGCCAAACCUGUACCAUCACCAAGAAAAACCCCAUCAGUGCCGUCAUAUUCAGAGUGAAUAGAUAGGUUUUGGAGAUCACUCAUGAUGUUAUGAGAGGCUGCAGAAUCAAUUAACCACUUAUUAUCUUGAGUAUCUGAGGAUCCAGCACAAUUAACAGUCAUUGUAGAGGAUUGAAGUUUCAGGCAGAUCUUGGCUGUGUGACCUAAUUGGUCACAAUAUUGACAUUUUGGCUGAAAACGCCGGUUUGGAUUGGGACGACCCGAAUUAUUAUUGUUGCGCUGACGGUCUCUAAAUGAGCCAUUUGAGGGGCGGUUUUGUCCUGGUUGGCGAAAAAAACCAUUUCCUCUAUUGCUUCCUCUGUUUUGCUAAGAUGCAGAGGAGAUGGUUUCCUUGUUGGCAAAGCGGUGGCUGGUAAAGUUUGCAGCAGCCACCAGCUGCUGUGUGGCAGCCUCUAUCCUCCUUAAGUAACUCUCAUGCCCAACAAGCAUAUCAUGGAGUUCUUCAAAGGCAAGAGAUUUUUCUCGUGCUCGAAUAGGAGCAGCAAUCUCACAAAAUUCUGGACCUAACCCAUGGAGGACAUAGAGGGUUAAGUCAUCGUCAGAAAUGGGGUGAUCAAUAAGUGCAAUUUCAUCAGCCAAGCUUUUGACCGUAUGAAGAUACUCUAAAAUUGGUUGAUUUCCACGCUGGAUCAAGGUUAGUUCUUCCUUGAGUUGCAUUGCCCUUGUACGCGAUUUACUUGCAUACAGUGUUGAUAAUUUUUUCCAUGCCUCGUGUGAGGUUUUGGUUAUGGCAAUGAGAGGCGUGAUGGAGGGUGAAGUGGAUGCAAGAAUGGCGCUGAGAAUAAGCUUGUCUUGCCUUACCCACCUUUUUUUUUGUUGUAGACUGUGGAGUACCAUCUGAGAGAGGGCACUGAGACUCUCCAUUAACAUAGUCCAGGAGAUCAUAGCCGAUGAGAAGAGCCUCAAACUGUGCUCGCCAUUGAGGAAAGGAUGAGGGUGUGAGUUUCUCAUUGAUUUGAGUGGUGAUGUUGAAAACAACAAGGGAAAGUUCAGGAGAGGAGGUAGGUUGAUUUAUGGAAGACAUGGGGAUGACAUUCUCAUUGGAGAGAUGAUGCUCUGAUACCAUAAAGAGUAUUAGAAUACUUAGAAGUUUACAAUGUAAUUUUCAACAUAAUUUUAUUGAUGCUCAGCCUAUAGUUAUAUACUGACGAUUACAUAUUCUAUUAAGGAAAGAUUACAGCAAUCAAAAAUAUUUAUGGACAGAAUAUUUGUAUUAAUUCACAAGCAUGAUUGUAGACUUGGUGCUGUAAAUCAGUAGCAAAUUUCCUUCACGCUAAUGCUGCAAUCACUUGCAGAUUUCAUGCAUCUGCAAAGUUCCAGCAUCUUCCUUAAUAUCCAGAACCAGGCUAGUUGAUUUUUUGCAUGAUUUUUUAUUUUUGGAAAGGUUUUGUGUAACAACUAUUUUCAUACAAGGGAUGACAAUUAGUUUUCUGAAUCCUUUACAAAUACCUAUUAUUUCUAUGAAUCUUAAAACGAGGAGUAAAUAAGAAGGAAAGUUAGGAAAACACUUACACAUACAUUAUCAUCAUGCUUGAGAGUUUUAUUAAUUGGUUAUAUUCUUGUAUAUUGUGCUAUGAACAUCAAUUGAUUUGCUCUUUGUGGUGAGCAUAAUCAUGUGUACAUGAAAGCAUAAUCAUUUGAAUUACUUAUAGUCUUUGCUAAAAUAUUACUGAUAUGAAAGUACGUAGCACCAUAUCAACACUCAAAAAUAGAUUACUAGAUCAACACUCGGGUUAGCUUUUGAGCCCAUAAAAAAAAUAGUUGUAAAGGGUUUUGGUCCUCGAUCGUUCAUGUAAGUAUAUGAACAUUUGAUGAAUUGGAAAAGUCUAAGUUAUGCUCAGAGACUCGAUGUAGGCAACUUAGAACCAAGUAUAUAUGAUCUCUUUAACUUUACAUUCUUUAUUUUACACUUUUGUACUUAUAUAUUACAAAUUCAUUACAAGAGUUGUUGUUGUUAUCAUAUCAAAGCCUAUUCACUCCCCUCUAAACUUGGCUCUUGAUCCUACAGGAACAUCGAUUCUGUCUUCAGAAGAAAUUGGUUAAAUUUAACUUUUGAAUGGUCAAUUACAAUAUCUAAAUUUCUCAAAAGUGGAAUUGUGGAAAUACUUUUGCAAUCAUUCACCCUAUCGAAUUGUAUAAUUUACAUAUAUUAGAAGAAUAUCAUCAUAUAUUCUCAUCACAUUUUGUCUUUAUAGUUUCUGCCUGUAGGGAAAAAAAAAACAAAAAACAAAAACAUUAAUUAACUAACCUUGCAUAUGACUCCAAGAUCCCCGAUAGGUUCAGUUUGGCUCUUGAUCCCAUAAUGUAUUCCUCAUGCUAUUUUUUUAAGAAGCAAUUUGUUAAGAAGUUGCAUGUGUUCAGAAAGAUUAUAGGCCUCUACGUCCGUAUUGAACCUACGUGCACAAGAACUUAUAUUUAAUGACGGACACCACAGCUCUAACCCAAAAGCUUAGAUGGAUCCUAGAUCUUUCUUGUAUAAUUACUCUUUGUUUUAUAUUCCUUUUUAAUAUAUGAUAUUUACCACUCACAUAUACACCGAACGCAUCUCCCCCCUCGUAUGUGAAUCCAGUCCAUUCAAACACAACUCGCCCUUUAACAAAAGUAUUUAACAGUUCAAGUGCGUUAUCUAGAGCUUGAGACCUCGCUUUUUUGCUUAAUUAUAGAGAAGCAAACAAAACCAUGGGAGCCCAACCACAGUCAUCACCCAUCUCAAGUUGAACCAUGAGUUUUAAUACUAGUUUGUUAAGGAGCUAUCUACGUUUAGAGAGGUGCAUGAGCCUCCACAUAAGUAUAUGGUUUGUGUGCGCAAAAACUUACAUAGAAGGAUGCACACACUCUAUAUAUAUAUGCACCUAACACAAUCAGACUUCUUUUCUUCAAACAACUUAUAAGGCUCUUGUUAAUCCAAAAAGUUCUGCGGAGAGAGUUUGUCUGAGCUUUUCUAAGUUUGAUCGACACUUAAUUCCUGCAUCUGAAAUUGAUCAGCUUUCCAUCACCUUGUCGUUCUCACAGAACCUAUUCUUUAAUGGAUAGCGGAAGCUUAUACGCAUGCUCGUUUUGGUGCUUCAUGUCUUUCUCUAACCUUUCAUGAUGAUCAUGAUCAAGGCAUUCCCUACUGUCUCUCAUUUUGCAGUACUGGAUACUAGAUAUUCCAAGCAUCAACAGGCUUGUUCAGCCACUAUCCAAACCACUCUUAAUGCAAGAACUGUGUAAUUGUUACUUCGUGCCCAAAUUUUAAUAUCCUCUUAAGGAUCCCAAUAUUUUUGGUGCUGCUAUGUCUAGGGAUGAACUGCACCCUCAAACGUUGAGCCCAUUCAGACUUGGAGCCCCAUUUUCUGAUCACCCAUACUGAUGUUUCCGCAAAAAUCUCUUUUUCUAAGGAAUCAUUCAAGAUUCCAAGUACUCCUAAACCAUCAUUUCUGUUGAUGAGGUUGUGAUGCUCGUUUACGACCCUCCAUUUCCCAUCUGUAUUUGACAUUUUACUUGGGGUAUGGAACGCCUGUUUAUGAGUUAGCCCAGAGAUGAUGACAGCCAUAAAUAUAUAUAUAUAUAUAUAUAUAUAUAUAUAUGGAAUGAUGCUACCAUUUGUGACCAUUCAUCUAAGUAUUAGUAAGUUGCAUACCCUAAAUGACAAUCUUCUCUGUAUGAGAAUAGUAACCUCCUAAAUUAAAGGCCAGACACGUUCGGACAGCCAGAAAUGUUUGUGAUUAUUUGUUUUCCAGCUGCGGACCAAAUACCAUAACUUUUCUGCAAUGUUUUUGGCAAACCAUAAUCCUGAGCUAAAACAGAUCCUUCACCUUGCCUAGUUAUCCGGCAUUAAUUUCAGAACCCCAAUUUACAACUCCAAAUUAGUCAAGUUACAUUAGGCUAAUCUGAUCAUAAACCGUUGGCAGACAGACAGUGAAUACUCAUAUGCCCUAUUUAUAGUUCUCUACUCACUGAAACAGUUCAUGUAAAGAAUUAUACACUUGUUUUCUUUGUGGAAAAUUCUCCAUCUAGCUCUUUGAACCAAAUUAAAGGUAUAGAAACAAACGGUUACACCCAGGCCAUAUUAUUUUUACAGCAGAAAAACCUGACCCUUCAUUGAAAAAACCCUAUACAUAGCACUACUUGAUAAUCCAUUUUACACCCAAACUAAUUCCGCUUGUUAAUCGGUCCCUUUUUUCUCUUUCUUUGCAUAAAUUUUCUACCCAAAAUCAUCAUCUUUCUUUUUCAUCUACGCCUAUCAUACAUGGCAGACACAAGUCCAUUGCUUCCAUUUUCCCAUUCUCUGGGCCCUGGUUCCACCUAUAGUUCUAUUAGAUGGAGAUCCAAGAUAGUACUUCUCUUGGUAUUUUCUGGUUUGUUUCUUGUUCCUUUAAUUGUAUCUAUAGCUAGUAAUGACAACGGAUUCAAACAACACGUCCAAUAUUUACAAGAAGAUGAUCAAAAUGUAUCUUUUUCUCCGCCCAAAGAAACGACAAAACCGCAAAUUUUGAGGCCAGGAUCACGGGGGGUGUCAGCUGGUGUGUCAGAGAAGGCCAACGUGAAUUUGAAGGGUGCACAAGAGAAGGGCUAUCCUCAGAACGAUAGCAUGUUGUCAUGGCAAAGAACUUCUUUCCAUUUUCAACCUGAAAAGAAUUGGAUGAAUGACCCUAACGGUCCUUUGUAUUACAAGGGCUGGUACCACUUUUUCUACCAGCACAAUCCACAUGCUGCAGUAUGGGGUGACAUAGUUUGGGGCCAUGCUGUAUCAAGAGAUCUAAUCAACUGGUUCCACCUCCCAUUGGCAAUUGUUUCCGAUGAAUGGUUCGAUAUAAAUGGUGUAUGGACUGGCUCGGCGACUAUUCUUCUUAAUGGUAAAAUUGUCAUGCUAUACACAGGAUCCACUAACGAGUCAGUACAGGUACAAAAUCUUGCCUAUCCAGCUGAUCACAAUGAUCCUCUCCUCCUUAAGUGGGUCAAGUACUCUGGCAAUCCAGUUUUAGUCUCACCACCAGGCAUUGAUCCCAAUGACUUCCGUGACCCGACAACAGCUUGGUACACUUCUGAAGGGAAGUGGCGCAUCACAAUAGGGUCAAAAGCUAACAAUACUGGCAUAGCUUUAGUCUAUGAUACUGAAGACUUCAUAAAUUUUAAGUUAAGUGGGGUACUUCAUGGUGUCCCUGGAACUGGAAUGUGGGAGUGCGUGGAUUUUUACCCUGUGUCGAAAACAGGUCAAAAUGGAUUGGAUACAUCGGCUAAUGGUCCUCAUGUGAAGCAUGUGGUGAAGACAAGCCUAGAUGAUGUUAGGAAGGAUUCCUAUGCCCUUGGGACAUAUGAUGACAAGACUGGAAAAUGGUAUCCAGAUAAUCCAGAAAUUGAUGUUGGUAUCGGAAUUAUGCUCGAUUAUGGUAUGUUCUAUGCCUCCAAGACCUUUUAUGAUCAGGAUAAAGGAAGAAGAGUGUUGUGGGGUUGGGUUGCAGAGUCUGAUACUGAAGUUGAUGACGUAAAGAAAGGAUGGGCAUCUCUUCAGGGCAUUCCAAGGACUAUUCUGUUGGAUACAAAGACUUGUAGCAAUCUGCUUCAAUGGCCAGUAGAAGAGGUAGAGAGGUUAAGACUAAAAGGCAAGGAAUUCAACAACAUAGAGGUUAAGACAGGGUCGGUUAUGCCGCUUGAACUUGACGGUGCCACACAACUAGACAUUGCUGCUGAGUUUGAGUUGGACAAGAAGGCCUUAGAGAGCACAGCUGAAUCCAAUGUGGACUUCAGCUGCAGCACCAGUGGUGGGGCUGCUCAACGUGGUGCAUUAGGACCGUUUGGUCUUCUGGUUCUUGCAGAUGACAGCCUAGCUGAGCACACUUCUGUAUACUUCUAUGUUGCUAAAGGAAAUAAUGGCACCCACAAAACUUUCUUCUGCACUGACCAGUCAAGGUCUUCAGUGGCAAAUGACGUUAAGAAAGAAAUUUAUGGAAGUUAUGUUCCAGUUUUAGAGGGUGAAAAAUUAUCUGUUAGGAUACUGGUGGAUCAUUCGAUAGUCGAAAGUUUUGCUCAAGGUGGUCGGACAGUUAUCACAUCACGGGUUUAUCCAACAAGGGCAAUCUAUGGUGCUGCUAGGCUUUUUCUAUUCAACAACGCCAUUGAGGCUACCGUCACUUCCUCACUCAAGAUAUGGCAAAUGAAUUCUGCAUUUAUACGCCGUUAUUCUAACGAACAGUAGCUGCUACCUUUAGUCUACCUAAUUUGCAUCCAUCUGUACCAUAGUUUUCUUUUCUUUGUAAUGCUUUUUACCCAAAUUUUGAAUAACAUUAAUUUCUUCUUUUUUUUCCUAUCAAAGAGAAAGGUAAAAUGUAAUAGGAUUAUCUUCAAUUGGUUCCUUUUUCUUUUUUAACCUCUAUCCAAACAAAAUCUUAGAAUCACUACUGUUAUCAUUUCAUGAUAAACUUAUUAACACCAACACCAUCCUUCCAACCCAAAGUAUGAAAAGUUGGAAACACAACAACACUGUCUUGCAGCAAAGCAAGCUUAUUGCAGCUUUCAUGCAUGUAAUCUUACAGCAGAACACAAGAAAGAAAGCAAAUGGAAAUCAAGCAUCAGACCAGGUGAUAUCCAUCCAUCCCUAUUCCUUGUCUUUCUCAUUUACUCCUAAUGCUUUCCAAACAGCUUUCGAGGCAUCUACAAUAUUAUUUGCGCAGGGUGGCUGGUAACCAUGUUCAUCAUCACAUCCCAUAGUAGAGUCACAAUGAUCGACCACCAACGCCUUCACGCUUCUUCCGUUUCCAUUAAUGGUGAUAUGGUGGCGGCACCUCUUCUUGUUGCUGAACAAUCCUGUUGACAGUGCCACCAUAGGUGUGUCAUCGUCAUGAUACCUACCAUCGCAUUCUGAUGGUCCACCCCCAUCUCCACCCUCCUCGAAACUGUUUAUUGUUAAAAUUCCCUUCGUAUGCGCGGACACGGGGGCGAACACUUGUAGGUGGUGUUAAAUUUUCCUUGUUCACAUCAUUCUGCGCCAUUAUCCUGGUUACACUCAUUUUUCGGGGGCUUCUUUCCUUUCACUUUGCCACUUGGCUUGC